AGACAGCUCACCCUUCAGUUGCGAGGGGAGGCGGACUGCCCACAUUGGCUGUCCCAGCACUAACCCCUCCAGUGAUACUUAGCAGCCCUGUACUCCUGCCAGAAUGUCACCAGAAGAAGAUUGAUUGCCUCUUAAUAAUGUUUCUCAUAAGUUUCACCAAUCUGGGUCUUUUUCCAGUCCCUAGGUUCUCAGCACUUGACCCUCACAACGUGGCAUUCCUUCAGGCUCUGGCCUGACAAAACCAUGGAGUCCCCAGGAGAACCAGAUGUUCGGUCACUGCUGUAAGAAUGUGAGACUGAGAGGUCUACGAACACUCACUGAAUCUCGACAACCACAAACACCCAAUUCAGGGCACCGGAGCCUCUUCCCCAACCUUAGGGAUGAUAAAACCAAGACUUGGAGAGAGUUUGAGUUACCUGCCCAUGUUCAUAUAGCUGGUGUAUAAUUUUUCACCUGAGCACAGUUGCCAAGCGCCGGCAAGAUGCCCUGGUAAAAAACCCACACCUCGCAGUCUGCAGCCGCCCUGCCUGUCCCCUUAGUCCCAGCCAUUCUAUCAUCCUGCAUGGAACUGCCUGGAGCUGUUUGUUGAACUGCUUCAUGUUACUCUUUGACUGAGAGAGAGACAAAUGUUCCAUAUUAUCUUUAAUUUCCAUAAAAUUGUUUUAAUCUUUGCUUUAUAAUAAAUGUAUAACGGUGCCCUCGGGGGAUCUCUGUUUUGUAUUAUAGGUGUCUCCAUUGGAGUUAUGUAUGAGAUAGAACUGCUCGGCAUUUGCCUUUCACCCAAAGGACUCGAAAGAGACUUGGAAACAAAAGAUUCCUCUGGGAAUCAUCCAUAAGCAUAAAAUGGAAAAUUUCCUUUCCCCCAAUAUGCCUCAUCCAGCCUCCCGAUGAUUAUCAGCCAGAUCAGAUCAGGAACAUAAGCAGUAGGAACUGAAAGGGAUUUGCCUUCUUUCUGACUGCACCAGCUUAGGGUGUAAUAUUUAUAUAUAUGCAUAUCUAUAUAUAUCAUUAUAAAUACAUAAUAUAUAAAAGCGUAGUCAUAGAGUAUAUUUAAUUAAAGAAACGGAAAGCCUCCACCAACCUGUCAGUUUUUAACUUUUUAGCUCCAGUGGCUUCUUAAUAUACCAGCUUGAUGAAAAAGAAGCGAGGGGGUGAGAAUGAGGAAGGUCCCAUGAAUACAUUUUUUGACAUUUUGUUUAUUAUCAUUUUAUCUAGGCUAGUAGCAAAUGGAUGGACUUGUCAGCAGGAAUCUCUUGGUGAAGUAAAUAAAGAAUCUUAAUAGGCAGGGAGGAUAGAACUAACGGCAAAUUGCUCACAAAGAGAUCUAAUUUAUUGGUUUCUUUUUCACUGAGAUUCUGUUCUGGAUUCUGGCUUUGCCAGAAGAAACAGCUGAAUGAUGACAUGGAUCCAUACACAGAGAAAGUGCUCUAUCUGGUAGAAAAGGAGAAACUGCGGAAAGAUUCUCUCUGUGGCCUUACCCCAGCUUCUUUCGAAAGUUGACUAGCUGCCUUAUUACUGCCAUGGCAUCUCUAUGUAAAGCUGAAGCCUGGAAGAUCGCCUCUAUUUUUAUUUUCUGGUCUCUGUUAAUAAGCCCAUGCUGUAUUCAUGAAAGAAAAAUAUUAAAUGUGGCCACACCAGUUAUAAUAUUAUGACUAUUUGGGUUUAAGUAUAAUAAAGAUACCAACAAGGGCUCCUCAGUUAUUAAUAUUUUUCCAGGUUAAAAAGCAGCAAUAAAUCAUAAAGAGCAUUUCCAAGCAGUAGCACUUUUAUAGAAAAUUGCUUGCUAUUUAAACAAAAUAUUUGCUCUUCAUCUCAGGAAAAUAUGUGGAUGCUUCUGAACAAGGAGCUAUUUUACCUACCCUCUGCCUCCUAUAAUUAGCCCCAUCCUACUUAAAAACAAUUUUUUUUAAUUUGCUUGCCUGGAUCACAGGAAAAUGGGGCUCAAGUUUGUUUUGGCCAAAUGAGCAGUUUCUUCAUUAGUAGCCUAUGUUUUUCCAAAGGGUAAGGUUCUGAAUUUAAAUGUUUGUUUUUUCUGUAUCCUUCCUUCUGAGAGGGCUGGAGACCUCUGUGUGGCUCUCUUCUGGGCAGGAACGACUAAGAUAAACAGGAAGUUUUGAUCCAGUAGACAUGGGUAGCGUUUUCUCUCUGCCACUUGUGAGUAUAGAAUUUAUUUCACUUAUGCAUGUAGGAAAAUACCUCUCCAACGAACCCUGAACCUAGAGGUCUGCUCAGGAUGGGGCCAUUUAUCUCCAAAAGUUGGAUUAUUUACAUAUUUGGGCAGAGGUUGAAAGGAGAUGGUCACACAGAUAUUAAUCUACUUUUCUCCACUUUUGGAUUACACUUUCAUGUUAACAGGAAGUAAAGGAUAUUUUGGGCUCUCGUGUAGUGCUCAUAUGACCUUCUCCACUUCAGUAUAGUCUCUUAAAGAGGCCAAAAAAAUUGACUGACUCUGUCUCACUGAUCAUAUCGCUAAUGAUAGCGUAUUGUUUAUUCACUUACACUGGAAAGAAAACGUAUCGUGAAUAUCUGCUUAAAUAUUUCGUUUGGCCAAAAGUAACUCUGUAAUGGCAUAUGGGAUCAAUCCAGAGGUGAAAAACAAACUCACCCACCAUAGUCUAGGUAGAUUGCAGUCCAAUUUCAUAUUCUAAGUUAAACAUGUUUUUCUCUCUUGAAAAUAAGUUCCUAAAAAGAGUUCCUAACAUUCUAAGAAAUGAUUGUAAAUCUACCAAGUUAAUUUAUGAACCAAUAAAGUCCUGUCAAGUCUCCUUCUCAUCUUCUGGAAAACAGGUCUGCAGUGAGGGAAAAAGACCAGCUAGUUACUAAGGAAAUAUAUUCUUGCUUCUUGUAUAUUCCUCUUAAGCCUUGCUUCGGAGUCAGCUUCUGUGCACUAUAGAAUAUGGAAAUCCUUCCAAACACAGAAAGUAUUUGGGGCGAUAAUGGUCUACAUUGUUAGACAGUAAGGCUUUAAGGAAAUUAACAAUAAAUGCAUCAUUAUUAUAUCCAAACUGCCAUCAGAUUAAAUUCAAAACUCUAAAUGAAAAGCUGAGGCAUUCGGUUCCUUAGACACAUAACAUAAAAUCAAGGCUGUUAAGAAGAGACAGUAUUUAAGAUGUCUCCCUCCCUUUUCUCCUCAGUAAACACCUUGUAAAUUUGUCUGAAAAUUUCAGAUUUUGCAUUAAUUGAGACUCCUUGCCUGUUCAGUUGAGUUUUGGUGUGAAAAUACAUCAAAUCAUAACAUACAGAAAGCUGCUCUCUCAAGCCACAUUUCAUAACAUGAUUUCAUCAGAUGGUCUUAAUUUUCUGCAUGACAUUAUCUUUUCAAGCUGACAUAAGACUGGGCUGUGAUAUUUGCAUACUCAAGACAGAACCAUGUAGCUUAACUAUGUUUCUGCUUUUGUGGGAAUUUGGGGCAUUUUUACUUUGAGGAAUAAAACAAAUAAACCUUCCAAAAAGAAUUUUUCCUCUACUUUUUGAAUGACUUUGUUCUUGCCUUUUAAUGAAAGAGACACUCUAAGCUAUUUUAAAUGAUGCUGUAGUGCCAAGCCAGUUGUCUCAAUACAUGUGAGAUGUACAUAUACUUUCUCUUGAAGGUCUCUGAAGCCCAGACCAAUUAGUCAAGGAGUCAAGGCUAUUUUAGUUGACUAGUAUCCAUAUAAUUGUAAAUGUACAA
This 3670-nucleotide long non-coding RNA is filed under the name Callithrix jacchus (white-tufted-ear marmoset). RNAcentral describes it as "lncRNA (ENSCJAG00000078299.1)". The record is from RNAcentral. Lineage: Eukaryota; Metazoa; Chordata; Mammalia; Primates; Cebidae.